ACGGUACUCCCUACGUCCGAAAAAACUUGUCCCAAGCUUGUUCCUCAAAUGGAUGUAUCUAGCACUAACUUGGUGCUAGAUACAUCCAUUUGAGGGACAAGUUUUUCCGGACGGAGGGAGUAACUC
Non-coding RNA from Triticum aestivum (bread wheat), 126 nucleotides. The record is from Rfam. NCBI's taxonomy places the organism in Eukaryota, Viridiplantae, Streptophyta, Magnoliopsida, Poales, Poaceae.